ACAUACGACCAUAGGGUGUGGAAAACAGGGCUUCCCGUCCGCUCAGCCGUACUUAAGCCACACGCCGGUGAGUUAGUAGUUGGGUGGGUGACCACCAGCGAAUCCUCACUGUUGUAUGNNN
This 121-nucleotide ribosomal RNA is filed under the name Penicillium egyptiacum. Lineage: Eukaryota; Fungi; Ascomycota; Eurotiomycetes; Eurotiales; Aspergillaceae. The record is from RNAcentral.